RNAcentral lists this ribosomal RNA (253 nucleotides) under uncultured bacterium. RNAcentral's name for it is "partial 16S ribosomal RNA". It matches the Rfam family "Bacterial small subunit ribosomal RNA", at positions 524 to 776 of the family's 1533-position model. The record is from RNAcentral.
UACAGAGGGUGCGAGCGUUGUUCGGAAUCACUGGGCGUAAAGAGUGCGUAGGCGGCGAUAAAAGUUAGGAGUGAAAGCCCAGGGCUCAACCUUGGAAUUGCUCUUAAAACUAUAUUGCUCGAAUUUGGGAGAGGAGAGCGGAAUUGUCAGUGUAGCAGUGAAAUGCGUAGAUAUUGACAGGAACACCAGUGGCGUAAGCGGCUCUCUGGACCAACAUUGACGCUGAGGCACGAAAGCGUGGGGAUCAAACAGG